ACGAGUGGCGGACGGGUGAGUAAUGUCUGGGAAACUGCCCGAUGGAGGGGGAUAACUACUGGAAACGGUAGCUAAUACCGCAUAACGUCUACGGACCAAAGCGGGGGACCCCCGGGCCUCGCGCCAUCAGAUGAACCCAUAUGGGAUUAGCUUGUAGGUAAGGUAACGGCUUACCUAGGCGACGAUCCCUAGCUGGUCUGAGAGGAUGACCAGCCACACUGGAACUGAGACACGGUCCAG
This 240-nucleotide ribosomal RNA is filed under the name uncultured bacterium. Its description in RNAcentral is "partial 16S ribosomal RNA". It matches the Rfam family "Bacterial small subunit ribosomal RNA", at positions 91 to 334 of the family's 1533-position model. The record is from RNAcentral.